GGGUCAGUAGGUUGGUCGUGCCACCGGUACGUACUGGUCUCACUGAUUCCUCCUCCCUGAAGAACCGUAAUGCCAUUAAUUUGGUGUUGCGGGGAAACAGGACUGUUACUUUGAAAAAAUUAGAGUGUUUAAAGCAAGCUAACGCUUGAAUACAUUAGCAUGGAGUAAUGAAAUAGGACGAUCGAUCCUAUUUUGUUGGUUUCUAGGAUUGACGUA
RNAcentral lists this ribosomal RNA (216 nucleotides) under Glomeromycotina sp. RNAcentral's name for it is "partial small subunit ribosomal RNA". The stretch from base 75 to 216 matches the Rfam family "Eukaryotic small subunit ribosomal RNA", at positions 721 to 864 of the family's 1831-position model. Lineage: Eukaryota; Fungi; Glomeromycota. The record is from RNAcentral.